GACGAACCGUGCGAACGUUGUUCGGAAUCACUGGGCUUAAAGGGCGCGUAGGCGGGCUGUCAAGUCUGGGGUGAAAUGCCACGGCUCAACCGUGGAACUGCCUUAGAUACUGACGGCCUCGAGGAAGGUAGGGGCAUGCGGAACUGUAGGUGGAGCGGUGAAAUGCGUUGAUAUCUACAGGAACUCCGGUGGCGAAAGCGGCGUGCUGGACCUUUUCUGACGCUGAGGCGCGAAAGCUAGGGGAGCAAACGGG
Molecule: ribosomal RNA, 253 nt
Filed under: uncultured bacterium
Lineage: Bacteria
Description: partial 16S ribosomal RNA
Rfam family: Bacterial small subunit ribosomal RNA
Source: RNAcentral